RNAcentral lists this long non-coding RNA (3587 nucleotides) under Equus caballus (horse). Its description in RNAcentral is "lncRNA (ENSECAG00000045707.1)". The record is from RNAcentral. Lineage: Eukaryota; Metazoa; Chordata; Mammalia; Perissodactyla; Equidae.
GUGGAAGCCAGGAGGCUCAGCCCUUCCCGAAGGCUCGCUCGGGGGCCAGAGGACCACAGCCAGCCCUUUCCCGCUUCUGAUGGGGCAGGGGAGAGCAGGGCUGGGAGUCAGAGCAUCCUGCCUUUAGGAUCAAGGCCCUAGCCCUCUGCUAACUGGCUCUGUGGGCUUAGGUCAGUUACUCAACCUCUCUGAGCCACAGUUUCUUCAUCUGCUAAAUGGAAAGAGGAAAAUCCUGAUGAUGCACAGGGUACCUGGAGGAUAAAGUGAGACUCUCCAGGGAGGUCCUGAGCUCAGGGCCCAGCUGAAGGUAGGUGGUCAGUAGGUGCUCAUUGACCCGAGGAAUGAAUGAAACGUGGAAACGGCAGGGACGGGGUGGCAGGGGCGCAUGCGGCUGCCUGCGGGAAAGCUGCCUUCCACCAGCUGGGAGAGCCGAGGGAUGUCUGGGGCCUGGUAUCCGGGCCCAGGAUGCGGCUGCUCUGUGCUGGUGUGAAGGCGCAGCUUCCAAGACUCAGACAGGAUGGAGUCUGGACUAUUCCUCUGGGCACAACAGACCCUUCUAGAAGCCACACCAGAGCUUCGGGCGGGGUCCAGACUCUCUGAGCCUGAGCCCCGACCCAGAAGAGAAUUGCUGUGGGGGGUGGAGGGGAGCAGAUGGUGGACCCUCCCCUCGGCUUGGGCAACCCCCAGGACCCCUUCACACUGAGAGCCUACAGCAGCCACUCGGGGCUGUGAGGUCUGGGCCUGGGCCCCUGGGUGGCCAGCACCUCACCUGCCUCCUGCCCAAGGGGAUGCUAGGCCAUUUGGGUACCACAUCCCAGAAAGCUUUAGCAUCCUCUCAGUAGCUGGCAUUCUGAGCCCUUCUCUGUGCCAGGCCCCGGUCUAGGCACUUUACAUGGAUUUAAUCUUAACACAUCUCAUAAGGUCGGUACCAUUAUUCACCCCAUUUUAUAGAUGACGAAACUGAGGCCCGAUGAGUCACGUAAUGCCCAAGGCCACACCCGAGAAAGCAACGAGGUCAGGCUUGGAACCCCAGGCAGGCUGGCCCAGAGCCCCAGCCGGCUCCAGCUGUGCUGGUGGCCGGGGCAGGGAUGGCCAAUCCUCCCGUGAGGCUGUGCGGCUCCUUGUCCCAGCCAUGCACACGGUCAUCCAUGUUUGGGGCUGAGCAUCUCCUGUGCCAAAGAGCCUCAUUUACAAAUCACUUUCUGUUUGGAGCAGUGGUUCUCAAAGCACAGUCACAGGGAAAAUGCUAGAAAUGCAAAUUGUCCAUCCCCCUCAGGCAACAGAGUCAGAAACUCUAAGGGAGUCAGGCCCCGGGGCCGCAGUCUGCAUCCUACCCAGGUGAUCCCCCUGCAAACUGACAUGUGAGAACCCGACUUGAGAGUUCGCACGGCUGUCCCAGUGUGAAAAACAAUAUUCGACUGAGCAAGCGCUGAAGAUCUCAUCGGUUUUAUUCAACAGCUCGUGCUUCAGGCGAGCUGCCCUCUCCACGUGGCAGGUGAAAAGGAGCUGCGAGGAGCUGGACAAAAGGGAAGACCUUUAGAGGCAGACGGGAGUGGAACAUGGAAGCUAUGCCAGCAAAAAGCCAACAGUUGGUCGUGGCAAGGUCGAAUCCAGGGGCAAGGCAGACGAGUCCCCCUUUGCCAGAAGUCGACCAUCAGGGAAGUAGAAGAGAUGGGCCUGGAGCCCACAGGUCUUGGUUCUGGGAUAUUUUGGUUUCCGUUCUGGAGACCAGACUGCCAACCAAGGUGGGGAGGGGAGGGGCUCUGAGCCGAGGGGCCCAGGAGAGGGUUGGGGGCAGGCCGUGUCUAUUCCCUCCGGGGGCCCCAACCCAAAUGUACAUCCAUGAAGCCGGGCCUGGCGGUUUGAGUGAUGGGUUUAUUAAUACUGGAGGCCGCUGCCAGGCAAUGAGCCAGAUCGUGGUGACAAAGGCGGCCGCGGCGGCGCCCUGGGGGCGUCAUUAUGUAAUUGCUCCAAGGAUGAGGCAGGCUGGGGCCAGGGCAGGGGGGGCUGGGCGCCAGCCACGGGUAGAGGGAGCCCCCUCGGGAACCCUCACCGCUUCACCGCUCUGGGCUCCCACGCCCGGAGGCGGGUUAACCCCUGCCUGGCUGGGUGCAGCCCUCCGCUCCCGGCAAAGGGGCCCCCAGGGCGAGAUCCCCAGUCCCUGGGGACCCCCGGAGAAGACUGAGCCAGGGCUUUCCCUCCUCCGGGCACUGCUGCCCCCCCGCCCCAACCCGCCCUCGCUGAGAGUUGGGGGAGAGAGAGAAAAGACCAACGCAUUGGGCAACUUCUGGGUGUCAGUCGUGUGGCUUGCAUAUCAAACGGAUGGCAACCUCUGUGUGGUGGCCCAUGUUACAGACUGGGACCCAGCCCCAGAAGGCCUGGCUUCAUGCCCCGAGGAUUCCAGUCCUUGAGUUGGUCAGCUCUAAAGCUCGUGCUUUUUCCUUUGUACCCCACAAGGGGUCUUUAUAACCAUGGUGGAUCAGUUGUUGCCUCAGUUUCCCCAGCCAGGAUGCUGUUGAUGGGGUGGAAAGGACCGUGUACGUCUCCGCAUUAGGGGCCUGGGGAAGGGGUUUGGGACGCUGGUGUCCACCGAGCAGAUGGUGCAAGGACAGGCCUGGCUGUUUGGGUCAGUGGGGGCCAGCACACCAGGCCCUGCCCCUAUCCUGCCAGCCAGGGCCAGACCCCAAGAACACCCCCCGCCCGCCCCCAAAUCCUGGUGCUGCAGCCCUCUGCGGGGAAUGCCCUCCUCGAGUCCGCCAUGUGCUGUCACCCCUGGGAAGUCCGUCCCAGUGCCCUGCCCCCCAGCGCACUUACCCAGGAGCCUUCACGGCUGUCCCCCUCCAGCCCUGGGCUCACUGGUGACGGUACCUCAUACCCUGCGUCACUAAGGGAGCUGUUGUCGUCUGUCUGCCCCAUGAGGCCACGCGCUGUGGGGCGCCGGUUCCGUGUCUGCCCAUCUUCACAGCCGCCCGCCCAGCCUGGCACACAGUAGGCCUGUCCAGCACCUGCUAGACUUGAGGGGAAGGGCGUAACCCUCCAAUGGAUUUCAUGCUUGGGGACGGUCUCCAGACCCUGGCUUCAGGGCUCCACAGACCUGCCGGUGGCUCUGCGACUCCUAGCUGUGUGGCCUUGGGCAAAUUUGUAGCCUCUCUGGGCCUCUGUUUCCCCAUUAGGAAAUGGGGUAAUAGCAACCGCAGAGUCCCGAGGCCAGUUCCUGUUUACUGAGCACUUACUAUGCGCUGGACGGUGUCUUGGACCCCACACCAGCCCUGAGGAGGCAACUCCUGUCGUCAUCUCCAUGCUAUAGACAAGGAACUCUCCCCAGUCUGCUGACAAAGGACAGAACCGGAUUUGAACCCUGGUCCUGCCCCCUGUGUGUCUGAUCUCCCUUUCACAGGAUCGAUGAUUAGAUGAGAAAUAGCUAAGGACCAGCAUACAGAAGGCGCUCAGUGAUGUUUACACCCCUCCCCUUUUGCCCUUCAGUCUCCCCUCCCCCCCCUCCCCCCCCCAGGCCAUGCCGGGAGCCCCUCUGUGGGACGGGGCUGAAGGAGGGGUCCCAGGAGGGCUGGCAGGAGGCAGCGUCUGGG